This is a long non-coding RNA of Lagopus leucura (white-tailed ptarmigan), 265 nucleotides long. RefSeq lists it as uncharacterized. NCBI's taxonomy places the organism in Eukaryota, Metazoa, Chordata, Aves, Galliformes, Phasianidae. The record is from RefSeq and is a predicted model, not a curated record. The transcript has 3 exons.
AUUCUGGUGGCCAGCUACUGAACUUAACCCCACAUACAGAUGCCUUUUCAAUACUGAAACCAGGCUUACUAUGCAAGAUGUGGUAUAGCAAGCACUAAAGACAUUGAAUGCUGAAACAGUUAAGGGUGAUUUUCCUUGCUCUGAGCUGUGCUGGAAGUAUCCAAUGCUACUUGUGAUUUGACUGAAAAGCUGUAGGCCUGUUAAGAUCUACAGGAACAAAUGGUAAAACUGGCUGCAACACCGUGCCUACAGCAGAGAGCUGAGA